UGACCCGUGGUGUAAGCGGUAGCACGACUGAUUCUGAGUCAGCCGGUUUAGGUUCGAGUCCUGACGGGUCAG
RNAcentral lists this transfer RNA (72 nucleotides) under Mycobacterium sp. OAS707. Its description in RNAcentral is "tRNA-Gln". It matches the Rfam family "tRNA". From Rfam's summary of the family: Transfer RNA (tRNA) molecules are approximately 80 nucleotides in length. Lineage: Bacteria; Bacillati; Actinomycetota; Actinomycetes; Mycobacteriales; Mycobacteriaceae. The record is from RNAcentral.